This 3208-nucleotide ribosomal RNA is filed under the name Fusarium culmorum. RNAcentral's name for it is "eukaryotic LSU rRNA". It matches the Rfam family "Eukaryotic large subunit ribosomal RNA". The record is from RNAcentral. Lineage: Eukaryota; Fungi; Ascomycota; Sordariomycetes; Hypocreales; Nectriaceae.
ACUUUCAACAACGAUCUCUUGGUUCUGGCAUCGAUGAAGAACGCAGCAAAUGCGAUAAGUAAUGUGAAUUGCAGAAUUCAGUGAAUCAUCGAAUUUUGAACGCACAUUGCGCCGCCAGUAUUCUGGCGGCAUGCUGUUCGAGCGUCAUUUCAACCUCAAGCCCAGCUGGUUGGGAGCUGCAGUCCUGCUGCACUCCCAAAUACAUGGCGUCACGCGACUUCCAUAGCGUAGUAUUACAUAUCGUUAUGUAAUCGUCGCGGCACGCCGUUAAACCCAACUUCUGAAUGUUGACUCGGAUCAGGUAGAAUACCCGCUGAACUUAAGCAUAUCAUAAGCGGAGGAAAGAAACCAACAGGAUUGCCUAGUAACGCGAUGAAGCGGCAACAGCUCAAUUGAAAUCUGGCUUCGGGCCCGAUUGUAAUUGUAGAGGAUGAUUUUGAUGCGUGCCUUCCGAGUUCCUGAACGGACGCCAUAGAGGUGAGCCCGUCUGUUGGAUGCCAAUCUCUGUAAAUCUCCUUCGACGAGUCGAGUAGUUUGGGAAUGCUGCUCUAAAUGGAGUAUAUGUUCUAAAGCUAAAUACCGCCAGAGACGAUAGCGCACAAGUAGAGUGAUCGAAAGAUGAAAGCAUUUGAAAGAGAGUUAAAAGUACGUGAAAUUGUUGAAGGAAGCGUUUAUGACAGACUUGGCUUGGUUAAUCAUCUGGGUUCUCCAGUGCCUUUUCAGCCAGGCAGCAUCAGUUUCGCCGGGGAUAAAGACUUCGGAAUGGCCCCUCGGGAGUGUAUAGCCGUGUGUAUACCUGUGGGGAUGAGGUUCGCGCUCUGCAGAUGCUGGUAAUGGUCAUCAAGACCGUCUGAAACGACAAGAUCGUCUUCGUAUGCGAGUGUUCGGUGUCAACCUACGCGAUGAAGUGAACGCAGGUGAGAGCUCGGCGCAUCAUCGACGAUCUGAUGUUCUCGAUGAUUGAGUAAGCAUACGGGGACCGAAAGAAGUAACUAUGCUGUGUAGGGAAGCAGAGGAAAUCUGGUGAGGCUCGCAGCGGUUCUGACGUGCAAUCGAUCGUCAAAUGGCAUGGGCGAAAGACUAAUCGAACUUCUAGUAGUGGUUUCCGCGAGUUUCCUCAGGAUAGCAGUGUUGAACUCAUUUAUGAGUAAGCGAAUGAUUAGGAUCGGGCGCUAUUUACCUUCAUCCAUUCUCAACUUUAAUAUGUAAGAAGCUCUGUUGCUUAAUUGAACGUGAGCAUUCGAAUGUAUCAACACUAGUGGCCAUUUUGUAGCAGAACUGCGAUGCGGGAUGAACGAACGCGAGUUAAGGUGCCAGAGUAGACGCUCAUCAGACACCACAAAAGUGUUAGUACAUCUGACAGCAGGACGGUGGCCAUGGAAGUCGAAUCGCUAAGGACUGUGUACAACUCACUGCCGAAUGUACUAGCCUGAAAUGGAUGGCGCUCAAGCGUCUCACCAUACCUCGCUCAGGGAGAAACGAAGCCUGAGAGUAGGCGGACGUGGAGUCAGUGACGAAGCCUAGGGUGACCGGUUGAACGGCUCUAGUGCAGAUCUUGGUGGUAGUAGCAAAUAUUCAAUGGAACUGAAGGACGAGUGGGAAGUUCAUGUGAACAGGUUGGACAUGGUUAGUCAUCUAAGCUAUAGGAAUCGUUCAAGCGCACUUUGCGCGUCUAGCGAAAGGGAGCGUCAUAUCCGGCACUGGAUGGGUUUGCGCGGCAACGAACUGAACGUGGAGACGACGGGGGCCCAAGCAGAGUUCUUUUCUUCUUAACAUCUCUCACCUGAAUCGGUUUGUCCGAGCUAGGUUAAUGGCUGGAAGAGCCGGCACCUCUGCCGGUUUGGUGCGCUCUCGACGUCCCUUGAAAAUCCACGGAAGAAUAAUCUCACGCCAGGUCGUACUCAUAACGCAGCAGUCUCCAAGGUGAACAGCCUCUGUUGAUAGAACAAUGUAGAUAAGGAAGUCGGCAAAAUAGAUCCGUAACUUCGGGAAAGGAUGGCUCUAAGGGUUGGCACGUUGGCCUUGGCGGACGUCCUGGAGCAGGCCGCCACUAGUCGGGCAACCGACGGAGGCGCCAGCAUCCGGUGCUGAUGCCUUGCAGGCUUCGCCGUCCGCGUGCGGUAACAACAACUUAGAACUGGUACGGACAAGGGAAUCUGACUGUCUAAUUAAACAUAGCAUUGCGAUGGCCAGAAAGUGUUGACGCAAUGUGAUUCUGCCAGUGCUCUGAAUGUCAAAGUGAAGUAAUUCAACAAGCGCGGUAAACGGCGGAGUAACUAUGACUCUCUUAAGGUAGCCAAAUGCUCGUCAUCUAAUUAGUGACGCGCAUGAAUGGAUAACGAGAUCCACUGUCCUAUCUACUAUCUAGCGAAACACAGCCAAGGAACGGCUUGCAGAAUCAGCGGGAAGAAACCUGUUGAGCUGACUCUAGUUGACAUUGAAAAGACAUAGGAGGUAGAAUAGGUGGAGCUUCGCGCCGUGAAAUACCACUAUCCUAUUGUUUUUUACUUAUUCAAUGAAGCGGGCUGGAUUACGUCCAACUUCUGGUUUAAGUCCUCGCGGCCGACCCGGUUGAAGACAUUGUCAGGUGGGAGUUGCUGGGCGGCACAUCUGUUAACCAUAACGCAGGUGUCCUAAGGGGCUCAUGGAGAACAGAAAUCUCCAGUAGAACAAAAGGGUAAAAGUCCCUUGAUUUGAUUUCAGUGUGAAUACAAACCAUGAAAGUGGCCUAUCGAUCCUUUAGUCCCUCGACAUUGAGCUAGAGUGCCAGAAAAGUUACCACAGGAUAACUGCUUGUGGCGGCCAAGCGUUCAUAGCGACGUCGCUUUGAUCCUUCGAUGUCGGCUCUUCCUAUCAUACCGAAGCAGAAUUCGGUAAGCGUUGGAUUGUUCACCCACUAAUAGGAACGUGAGCUGGUUUAGACCGUCGUGAGACAGGUUAGUUUACCCUACUGAUGACCUCACCGCAAUGGUAAUUCAGCUUAGUACGAGAGAACCGCUGAUUCAGAUAAUUGGUUUUUGCGGCUGUCCGACCGGCAGUGCCGCGAAGCUACCAUCUGCUGGAUAAUGCUGAACGCCUCUAAGUCAGAAUCCAUGCCAGAACGCGGUGAUACCACCCGCACGUAUAGAUGGACAAGAAUAGCCUCGCUUAGCGUCUUAGCAGCGAUUCCUCCACGGCGCUCGAGCGCGUCGUGUAUUUCGCGUAUUGU